RNAcentral lists this ribosomal RNA (291 nucleotides) under uncultured prokaryote. Its description in RNAcentral is "partial 16S ribosomal RNA". It matches the Rfam family "Bacterial small subunit ribosomal RNA", at positions 505 to 796 of the family's 1533-position model. The record is from RNAcentral.
GUGUCACAGCCGCGGUAAUACGGAGGGUGCAAGCGUUAAUCGGAAUUACUGGGCGUAAAGCGCACGCAGGCGGUUUGUUAAGUCAGAUGUGAAAUCCCCGGGCUCAACCUGGGAACUGCAUCUGAUACUGGCAAGCUUGAGUCUCGUAGAGGGGGGUAGAAUUCCAGGUGUAGCGGUGAAAUGCGUAGAGAUCUGGAGGGAUACCGGUGGCGAAGGCGGCCCCCUGGACGAAGACUGACGCUCAGGUGCGAAAGCGUGGGGAGCAAACAGGAUUAGAAACCCUUGUAGUCC